Molecule: ribosomal RNA, 270 nt
Filed under: uncultured Oscillospiraceae bacterium
Lineage: Bacteria; Bacillati; Bacillota; Clostridia; Eubacteriales; Oscillospiraceae
Description: partial 16S ribosomal RNA
Rfam family: Bacterial small subunit ribosomal RNA
Source: RNAcentral
AGGAGCUUGCUUUUUAAAGCUUAGUGGCGGACGGGUGAGUAACGCGUGAGCAACCUGCCUCUCAGAGGGGGAGUAACGUUUUGAAAAGAACGCUAAUACCGCAUAAUAUAUCGGAACCGCAUGAUUCUGAUAUCAAAGGAGCAAUCCGCUGAGAGAUGGGCUCGCGUCCGAUUAGUUAGUUGGUGAGGUAACGGCUCACCAAGACUACGAUCGGUAGCCGGACUGAGAGGUUGAUCGGCCACAUUGGGACUGAGACACGGCCCAGACUCC